Molecule: non-coding RNA, 518 nt
Organism: Xyrichtys novacula (pearly razorfish)
Lineage: Eukaryota; Metazoa; Chordata; Actinopteri; Labriformes; Labridae
Source: the annotation of a GenBank genome assembly
CUAUCACGAAAUUGUUCUCGAUUUGUCACGUGCAAAUGAGUAAGCCAAACUAAACUUAACUAAACUAAACUAAACACUCAUCCUAGACGUCCAUGUAGAUUCUCAUUCAUCCAGGUCAUGGUUUUCUUGAAGACUAAAAAACAGGCAAUUGGACUGUGUAGAGUUGAGAAGACGUUUCGCCUCUUAUCCAAGAAGCUUCUUCAGUUCUAAAUGUUGCUCGUGUGAGGAGCAGAUAUUUAUCUUACUGGAGAAGAGGACAGACCACGACUGGGAGGAUUUUUCCACAUUUUCCAUACCAAAUAGUGAGUUUGACAUGCAGGUAAGACAUGUAGAAUUAAAAAGUGAUGAGAUUAUUCAUGAGGAAAUGUGUUUUCAUGAACAGUAGCGCCUUUAAAAAAGAGAUUAAUCGUCCUUCUUUGUCCACAGGGGUCAUUCUCCUCAUUUCGAGGGGCUGUGAAGUGUCCCACUGUAAGUUGAGUGUGCAUUUUUAUUUCAGCUGGGACAGACCUGAGGAAGAG